CAGCCUCAGAGGGGAGAAAGCAAAAUGGCGGCGGCGGUCCGGGGGUGCGGUGGGGUCUGGCGCCGGGUGUGGCAGCGCGGGGCAGGGGGUCUCGCCCCCCGCGGGCAGCGCGCUGCCGCCGGUAGCGCGAGAGGCGCGGCUGUGCCGGCGGGGAAGAGUGGUCCUGCUCCAUGGGUACCAGUUGUUGGUCUGGAAAUUCAUGCACAGAUCAGUUCCAACUCAAAACUCUUCUCUGGUUCCCAAGUCCAGUUUGCAGCACCUCCUAACUCUGUGGUAUCUUUCUUUGAUGCUUCUUUACCAGGAACUUUGCCAGUUAUCAACAGAAGAUGUGUAGAAGCAGCAGUGAUGACAGGACUGGCACUCAAUUGCAGCAUAAACAAGAGGUCCUUGUUUGACAGAAAACACUAUUUCUAUGCAGAUCUGCCUGCUGGCUAUCAGAUCACUCAGCAAAGAGUUCCUAUUGCGGUGAAUGGAAGUUUGUCAUACAGUCUCUGCACAGACAACAAAAUGAGCCAGAUGGUAACCAAAACUGUGAGGAUUAAACAAAUUCAGUUGGAGCAAGACAGUGGGAAGAGUCUCCAUGAUGACACAAGGAGCCAGACCCUUGUCGACUUGAAUAGGGCUGGAGUCGGCCUCAUGGAGGUUGUCAUGGAGCCUGAUAUGUGCUGUGGGGAAGAAGCAGCUGCAGCAGUCAGAGAGCUUCAGCUCAUUCUUCAAACGCUUGGGAGCAGCCACGCAGUCAUGGCAGAGGGUCAGCUGAGAGUGGAUGCCAAUGUUUCUGUGCAUCACCCUGGAGAGCCUUAUGGAGUGAGGACUGAAGUGAAGAAUAUCAAUAGCAUACGAUUCCUGGCAAAAGCAGUAGACUAUGAAAUACAGAGGCAAAUUGAAGAACUUGAAAAUGGAGGAACUAUUCUGAAUGAAACAAGAGCGUUUGAUUCCAAGCUUGGGUGCACUGUACCGAUGAGAGACAAAGAAGGAAAACAGGAUUAUCGCUUCAUGCCAGAGCCAAACCUUCCUCCAUUGAUUCUGUACGAUGCAAAAUCUUUGCCAGCUAAUAUGAGCCAUCAGCAAGUGGUAAAUAUUGAUUGGAUUCAUGAGAGACUUCCUGACCUCCCCAGUGUGAAGAGAGCAAAGCUUGUUGAACAGUAUGGGAUUCUUCCUGAACACAGCUUCACCUUAUUGAAUGAAGACGGAUUAACAGAAUUCUUUGAAAAUGUGGUUAAACAGACCCAAAUGAAACCAAAGAAAGUGAUCGGCUGGAUUCUAAAUGACCUGCUCAGUUAUUUGAACCAACAUUCCCUUACAGUAAAGGAAAGCCCAGUCAGUUCUUCUAUCCUGGCUGACCUUUUGAACCUUCUAGAAAAAAAAGAAAUUUCUUCUACAGCAGCCAAGCAGUUUAUUCCCGGGCAAUACCCUGCUGCAGCAUAGGCAAACAACUAGCAUUCAUGGGUGAUUGUUCCAGAGGUGUGGGGUCGCCCAGCCGUCCGGUACUUGGAGGUGAUGCAGAGGUGGGCUGGAGCUGCUGCAUUCAUUCUGCUUGGUGCUAUUUUUCUUCUGUUUUGUCAUACAUACUCUCAUUACAGCUUGCUGAUGAGGACUGGUAAUGGGAUGAGUUACCUGGGAUUGGACUUGGUACAAUAGUUAGCUAAUGGUCAGUUUCCCGGGCAGAGACAUUGCUCAUGAAAAUGCAUUUGCUUACUGCUCUCAGGCAGUUCUUGUGAAUCAUGUGAGAUGAGCACGAGUACUGCCAGAGGAGCAGCCCUGCAGUCGGUGACAGCCCCUGCCAUCCGUGGUGCCCCCCUCUCCCAGCGAGGUGCGCUCAGGAAAUGCCUGUGAGGAGGUAGGGUACUGGCACUGGUGGUGGCGAGCAGCCCCCAGUGCUGUGGUAGGCUGCAGAGCAACGGUUGCAAACCAUUAACCUGUGCUCGUGCAGUAACUGAAAAUGCUUUGUCUUAUUUCAGGGAGGGAGGGAGAGCACAAGAGCUUUUCCAGCAAGGAUUAAAUCUUGGGUUUGUUCAAAUUUAGACAAUCUGCUGUUGCUUUAAAUAAAACCUGGCUUCUUGGAUCAGUAGUUGAAAUACUGCAUGUAAACAACCUUGCUAAGACACUGACCUCUGCUACACAUUGUGGUUUUCAGGUGCUUGUGGAAUUGUGGAAGGGAGAAGGGAAGACUCCUCUUGAAAUUGUUAAAGAAAAGAAACUUGAACUGAUACAGGAUCAAGGAGCGCUUGAACAGAUCUGCCAGGCGGUGAUUGAUGGACAAGAAAAUGAGGUUAUGGCAAUCAAGGCAGGAAAUCACAAAGUUCUAAACAAGUUAAUCGGCCUGGUGCAAAGGAAAACCCAAGGACGAUCCAAUCCUGUUCUGGUGAAGCAAUUGUUAGAGAAGAAGCUGUUAGAGUAGCCACAAGAGGGAAAACCCACGCCAGCAUAUACACCAGACAUGCACUUCGUUCUAUCUGGUUCACUGCAAAUGAACUUGGUGCCUCCUCGUGUGGCAUCAGGAUGAUUGCUUAUACUUCAAGCAGCACUGUGGCCUGGCCAGUCCCAGUCUUGCCUGGGUGCAACAGCCAAAGGCAGAUGAGCAAGAGAACAGCAGGAGGUGAUACAGUCGUUUGCAUCUCCCUCACGUCACUGUGGCCUUCAGAGAUGUGAUUUCCUCACAGCCAUGGGAAACAAGUUCCCAGGGUGCCCAUUACUAUGCAGGGAGCUGAAGCUGUAUUGGUUGGUUUUGUAAUAAAGCAAGUGUCAACUCGGC
Molecule: RNA transcript, 2755 nt
Organism: Strigops habroptila (Kakapo)
Lineage: Eukaryota; Metazoa; Chordata; Aves; Psittaciformes; Psittacidae
Gene: GATB
Gene name: glutamyl-tRNA amidotransferase subunit B
Exons: 13
Source: RefSeq, a predicted model, not a curated record